GUGUCAGCAGCCGCGGUAAUACGUAGGGUGCGAGCGUUAAUCGGAAUUACUGGGCGUAAAGCGUGCGCAGGCGGUUUUGUAAGCCAGACGUGAAAUCCCCGGGCUUAACCUGGGAAUGGCGUUUGGGACUGCAAGGCUUGAGUAUGGCAGAGGGGACUAGAAUUCCUGGUGUAGCAGUGAAAUGCGUAGAUAUCAGGAGGAAUACCGAUGGCGAAGGCAGGUCCCUGGGUUAAUACUGACGCUCAUGCACGAAAGCGUGGGGAGCAAACAGGAUUAGAAACCCUCGUAGUCC
RNAcentral lists this ribosomal RNA (292 nucleotides) under uncultured bacterium. RNAcentral describes it as "partial 16S ribosomal RNA". It matches the Rfam family "Bacterial small subunit ribosomal RNA", at positions 505 to 796 of the family's 1533-position model. The record is from RNAcentral.